This 252-nucleotide long non-coding RNA is filed under the name Linum usitatissimum (flax). RNAcentral describes it as "long non-coding RNA (LUSI_LNC007352)". Lineage: Eukaryota; Viridiplantae; Streptophyta; Magnoliopsida; Malpighiales; Linaceae. The record is from RNAcentral.
UCACUCGCGCUCGAUCUACCUUGUACGGAGUGCCCGGCGGGUCCUUGGACCCUAAACCAGCCAUUCAGACAGAAGGAGCCAAGAUGGUUGACCUUUCCUUGCCUUAUGAAAAGAGCACGUCCAAUCGAAGACCUUCCCAUCGGGCGGGCAUAGGUCAAGUAAUCUUAAUCGCCUCUAACGGAGUAGCUUUCCAAUAAACAUAUUCCUUCUCCUGCGCCCCACGCUCGCAUCGGUCACCAACUGACGAACCAA